This 392-nucleotide ribosomal RNA is filed under the name uncultured bacterium. RNAcentral describes it as "partial 16S ribosomal RNA". It matches the Rfam family "Bacterial small subunit ribosomal RNA", at positions 523 to 918 of the family's 1533-position model. The record is from RNAcentral.
AUACGGAGGAUCCGAGCGUUAUCCGGAUUUAUUGGGUUUAAGGGGUGCGCAGGCGGCCAUUUAAGUCAGCGGUUAAAUCGUGGGGCUCAACCCCAUUCUGCCGUUGAUACUGGGUGGCUUGAUUGCGGUCGAGGUUGGCGGAAUUCGUUGUGUAGCGGUGAAAUGCAUAGAUAUGACGAAGAACACCGAUUGCGUAGGCAGCUGACCAGACCGCAAAUGACGCUCAUGCACGAAAGUGCGGGGAUCGAACAGGAUUAGAUACCCUGGUAGUCCGCACAGUAAACGAUGAAUACUUGUUUUCGGCGAUAUAAUGUCGGAGGCAAAGCGAAAGCGAUAAGUAUUCCACCUGGGGAGUACGCCGGCAACGGUGAAACUCAAAGGAAUUGACGGGG